AUUGUGCAGUGAUUAUUAAACAUUCCUCGUACAGAUGGGAUAUCCUCGUGAACGACUUCUAUACACCCAUAGAAUCUGAGCACC
Molecule: non-coding RNA, 84 nt
Organism: Triticum aestivum (bread wheat)
Lineage: Eukaryota; Viridiplantae; Streptophyta; Magnoliopsida; Poales; Poaceae
Source: Rfam